CCCGAUCUCCUUCCAUCGUAGAACAUCCCGAAAUCCUAGCGUCGUCCAUCGGGUGCGGCGGUUGCCCAGCGCGCCCCGCGGUGCCGCCGACGAGGAGUCGUAGUCCUCGAUCUCGCCCUCCCCCCUCUCCUCCGCGCCCGCCGACGCGGGCCGCGUUUCCGCGUCCUCGGCUGGGCUACCGGCGGCAGCGAUGCGGUGCGCCGUCGGCGCCGGCGGAGUUCCCAUCUUCUCCCCUACAUCGCAAGCGCAGUGCCGGUCUGCCUACGUCGGGGUUGCUCGCCACAUGGCCGACCGGAGGUGGAGCGCUGCAACCAGGAAGGAAAGGCUCUGCUGUCUUAACAAGGAUGGAAAGUAUAACAGCAUACACAAACCAACAUGGAUAACCCAUAUCUGUGAGGAAGUGGUCGGACAUUUACCCUACCAUCCAUCGACUCGUUGUUGCUGAUAUCAUAGACAGAUGGGACCUGGAAGAUACACCAGCAACAGAAGCAACAGUUCUCAAAAUUGCGAAAGAGCGAUAUAGAGGCUGGCGAUCAACUCCAAGAUUUAUGUUGCUUACUUACAUUGCUAAAAGUGCAAUUCUAUUUGCAAGUGCCUACGAAAAGGAUUGGCAAAGAAAAAAGUAGUCCAAACUUCCAAAAUACUCUUUUACAGAGAUCUUGUCCUAGUAAGACUCCAGGUGCUAGCCUAACUGUUAUUUCUUCAAAUGCGCUCAUACAAGCUGCAACAAGGAAUAUUGAAUGUUUAAAGCAAUGGAUCCAAAGAACUAGCUUGACUGGACUCUAGAUCACGGACAAUUUAGUCUUGGCACUUAAUUAGGAUGGCUAAAUUACAUUUGAGUUUCAUUUGAUGGAUAUUUGCUAUGAGAAAUAUGAAUUUUAUGAAUCUACAGAUUAUAAGUAUGGUUUUAAAUAUUGUAA
Molecule: RNA transcript, 920 nt
Organism: Aegilops tauschii subsp. strangulata
Lineage: Eukaryota; Viridiplantae; Streptophyta; Magnoliopsida; Poales; Poaceae
Source: RefSeq, a predicted model, not a curated record